This 1017-nucleotide long non-coding RNA is filed under the name Equus asinus (donkey). RNAcentral's name for it is "lncRNA (ENSEASG00005030590.1)". Lineage: Eukaryota; Metazoa; Chordata; Mammalia; Perissodactyla; Equidae. The record is from RNAcentral.
GACAAUUUUCAGAAAUCCACAGCCAAGAGUCAGGAGCAGGCAGCAGUCAGGAGCCUGGCUACAGGCCCGUCUGCCCCCACCCCUCAUCGGGCGCGCCUCCCUCAGCUUCUCCGUCCAUGACCACACGGAAGAUGGUGGCCCUGCCACUGCCAAGUCGCUGUCGCCGUACCCCUGGCCUUUAGGACUCAUGGUCACCGUUGAAUUCACUUCACUGAGAAAGAGAAUCUGACGGAACAAGCUUGGGAUAUAAAUAUGUUUGUUCUAGUGGAGCUAAACAUUUUUCCUUCGUCUUCUUUGUUCAUUUUGAGAACUUUAAAAACACAGAAUAUAAUUACCUGUGUUUCCUCCCCAGAUUUCGUGGCUGUUAACAUCCAUGUUUUCCCAGUCUUUUUGCCUCUUGUGGUAGAUUGUAUUACUGUUCCUGAAGUAUUCACACCCUUUCCUGAGAGAACUGCAUGUGCCUCCUCCCGCUGCCACAUGGUUUUCAGGACACAUCCCGUCCAUGGCAGGUUGGCCCCCUGACCUGUUCUGUGGGUUGGAGGCUGUGGGCCGCGGGCUAGCCGACGUCUGCACAGCCAGGGCGCCCCACGCUUCUUUUCUGCCUUCCGUGAAUACAGCUGGUUCUGCCGCUUCAAUCUCCCAAUAAAGAACGCACAGCGCGAGCACCAGCCAACCUGCAGCUGGGCCGACAGGAGCAAGAAACACACCUUUGUGAUUGGACGCUUUCCGGGUUUGGGGAUGUUUGUUCCUGUGGCGUCACCCACCUAUGUACUUCCUGUCUGAAAAAGCCGCCCUUGUGCAGGGCCUGCCCGGUGGCACAGCAGUUAAGUUUGCACGUUCUGCCUCAGAGGCCCGGGGUUCGCCAGUUCAGAUCCCGGGUGUGGACACGGCACUGCUUGUCAAGCCGUGCUGUGGUAGGCGUCCCACAUAUAAAGUAGAGGAAGAUGGGCAUGGAUGUUAGCUCAGGGCCAGUCUUCCUCAGCAAAAAGAGGAGGAUUGGCAGUAGUUAGCCCAGGG